CGGUGCGCCUUAUGCAUGCAAGUCGAGCGAAGCUUUUCAGUAGUUUACUACAGAAAAUGACUGAGCGGCGAACGGGUGAGUAACGCGUGAGCAACCUACCUUAGUUACUGGGAUAGCCCGAGGAAACUCGGAUUAAUACCGGAUAUUCUUAUUUAAUCACAUGAUUUUUUAAGGAAAGGUCAGCCGAACUAAGAUGGGCUCGCGUUCUAUCAGCUAGUUGGUAGGGUAAUGGCCUACCAAGGCUACGACGGAUAGCUGGUCUGAGAGGACGAUCAGCCACACUGGGACUGAGACACGGCCCAGACUCCUACGGGAGGCUGCAGCAGGGAAUAUUGCGCAAUGAGCGAAAGCUUGACGCAGCGACACCGCGUGUGGGAUGACGGAUCUAGGUUUGUAAACCACUUUCAGGAGGGAAGAAAAUGACGGUACCUCCACAAGAAGCCCCGG
RNAcentral lists this ribosomal RNA (447 nucleotides) under uncultured bacterium. RNAcentral's name for it is "bacterial SSU rRNA". It matches the Rfam family "Bacterial small subunit ribosomal RNA", at positions 40 to 496 of the family's 1533-position model. The record is from RNAcentral.